This is a non-coding RNA of Myotis lucifugus (little brown bat), 77 nucleotides long. The record is from Rfam. NCBI's taxonomy places the organism in Eukaryota, Metazoa, Chordata, Mammalia, Chiroptera, Vespertilionidae.
GGCAGAGUUCUUGGGUGAUGCACCCUGGAAUCUGGUUCCCUCCUCUCUGGUUCCAGGUGUAUCACCCGAGAACCACA